This 404-nucleotide unclassified non-coding RNA is filed under the name soil metagenome. RNAcentral describes it as "partial contains 5.8S ribosomal RNA, internal transcribed spacer 2, and large subunit ribosomal RNA". The stretch from base 1 to 122 matches the Rfam family "5.8S ribosomal RNA", at positions 35 to 154 of the family's 154-position model. The record is from RNAcentral.
GAUGAAGAACGUAGCAAAAUGCGAUACUUGGUGUGAAUUGCAGAAUCCCGUGAACCAUCGAGUUUUUGAACGCAAGUUGCGCCCGAAGCCUUUUGGCCGAGGGCACGUCUGCCUGGGCGUCACGCAUCGCGUCGCCCCCCACAAUUCUCCGUAAAGGGAACGUGUGUUUUGGGGGCGGAUAUUGGUCUCCCGUGCUCAUGGCGUGGUUGGCCGAAAUAGGAGUCCUUUCGAUGGACGCACGAACUAGUGGUGGUCGUAAAAACCCUCGUCUUUUGUUUCGUGCUGUUGCUCGCAAGGUAAACUCUUUAAAAACCCCAAUGUGUCGUCUCUUGACGCCGCUUCGACCGCGACCCCAGGUCAGGCGGGACUACCCGCUGAGUUUAAGCAUAUCAAUAAGCGGAGGA